Molecule: long non-coding RNA, 802 nt
Filed under: Sinocyclocheilus anshuiensis
Lineage: Eukaryota; Metazoa; Chordata; Actinopteri; Cypriniformes; Cyprinidae
Description: lncRNA (ENSSANG00000006207.1)
Source: RNAcentral
UUCGAGGGCGCUGCUUGCUUUAGCAGUUUCAAUGUUAGCUUAAUUGUUUCACUCGGUACUUGCUCGCGGAAGUUUUAUUAAAGAGAAAACUGGAGCAGAGUGAACGCCCGUUGCAAGAGCAGCAUCAUAGUAGUAGUAACGGGAACGAGGGGGCCGCCGCCUAGCAUCCGGAGGAAGACCUUUGAAGACCUUAACUUUAAAGGGGUCAAAAAGAAGAAAUGCGCCCAUACAAGUGGAGACCAAAAAAAGUAUAUCGAAGAUUCCCUCAGAUGGGUAACAACAACAUCAAGCCACAGCCCCUUAGUCAGGAAGAGGACUGGGAAAAGGAGUUAGAGGAGAUUUCACAACGCAUUGAAAAGCAGAAAGAGCCUCCUUAUGAUCCUGGAGAUGAUUUGAGUACUGGAGUAAGGGAGGGGUUUCACUGUAACGUCCAGAAUGGCCCAAGCUCAAGCCAGGAACACUACAGCCCAGCAAUUCACCACAUUAAACCUGUGAAAUGGGUCCGCUUUAUUUAUGCUGUAGUGGAUGACCAGUUUGCUGAUGCAGAAGAAUAAGGCUGUUGGUUCCUUGUAUAUGUGCUUCCUUUUAGGAAAAAAAAAAUAGUUUAUAUAAAAUUUGUUUAUAAGUUACUGAGCCCAGGCUAAUGUUUUAAGUACUUUUGUUGUUUUUAGUGGCCUCUCAGUAUUUGAUGUUAAUUUAUAGUUAUGUUGAUCAAAUCAUUGCUGAGCAUUCAUAUUUGCAAGUUUAUUUCAUUCAUUCAUUUUUGCCAGUUGAAGCCAAUUUGUUUUAAUCUCUAAGCACA